GAGUUUGAUCCUGGCUCAGAUUGAACGCUGGCGGCAGGCCUAACACAUGCAAGUCGAACGGUAACAGGAAGCAGCUUGCUGCUUCGCUGACGAGUGGCGGACGGGUGAGUAAUGUCUGGGAAGCUGCCUGAUGGAGGGGGAUAACUACUGGAAACGGUAGCUAAUACCGCAUAAUGUCGCAAGACCAAAGAGGGGGACCUUCGGGCCUCUUGCCAUCGGAUGUGCCCAGAUGGGAUUAGCUUGUUGGUGGGGUAACGGCUCACCAAGGCGACGAUCCCUAGCUGGUCUGAGAGGAUGACCAGCCACACUGGAACUGAGACACGGUCCAGACUCCUACGGGAGGCAGCAGUGGGGAAUAUUGCACAAUGGGCGCAAGCCUGAUGCAGCCAUGCCGCGUGUAUGAAGAAGGCCUUCGGGUUGUAAAGUACUUUCAGCGGGGAGGAAGGGAGUAAAGUUAAUACGUUUGCUCAUUGACGUUACCCGCAGAAGAAGCACCGGCUAACUCCGUGCCAGCAGCCGCGGUAAUACGGAGGGUGCAAGCGUUAAUCGGAAUUACUGGGCGUAAAGCGCACGCAGGCGGUUUGUUAAGUCAGAUGUGAAAUCCCCGGGCUCAACCUGGGAACUGCAUCUGAUACUGGCAAGCUUGAGUCUCGUAGAGGGGGGUAGAAUUCCAGGUGUAGCGGUGAAAUGCGUAGA
Molecule: ribosomal RNA, 696 nt
Filed under: uncultured bacterium
Lineage: Bacteria
Description: bacterial SSU rRNA
Rfam family: Bacterial small subunit ribosomal RNA
Source: RNAcentral